This 497-nucleotide ribosomal RNA is filed under the name uncultured bacterium. RNAcentral describes it as "partial 16S ribosomal RNA". It matches the Rfam family "Bacterial small subunit ribosomal RNA", at positions 28 to 507 of the family's 1533-position model. The record is from RNAcentral.
GAUGAACGCUGGCGGCGUGCCUAAUACAUGCAAGUCGAGCGAACGGACGAGAAGCUUGCUUUUCUGAUGUUAGCGGCGGACGGGUGAGUAACACGUGGGUAACCUACCUAUAAGACUGGGGUAACUUCGGGAAACCGGAGCUAAUACCGGGUAAUAUUGUGAACCGCAUGGUUCAAAAGUGAAAGACGGUCUUGCUGUCACUUAUAGAUGGAUCCGCGCUGCAUUAGGUAGUUGGUAAGGUAACGGCUUACCAAGGCAACGAUGCAUAGCCGACCUGCGAGGGUGAUCGGCCACACUGGAACUGAGACACGGUCCAGACUCCUACGGGAGGCAGCAGUAGGGAAUCUUCCGGAAUGGGCGAAAGCCUGACGGAGCAACGCCGCGUGAGUGAUGAAGGUCUUCGGAUCGUAAAACUAUGUUAUUAGGGAAGAACAUAUGUGCAAGUAACUGUGCGCAUCUUGACGGUACCUAAUCAGAAAGCCACGGCUAACUACGUG